GGCCAGACUCCUACGGGAGGCAGCAGUGAGGAAUAUUGGUCAAUGGGCGAGAGCCUGAACCAGCCAAGUCGCGUGAAGGAUGACGGCCCUACGGGUUGUAAACUUCUUUUGUCAGGGAGCAAUUGGGUCCACGCGUGGGCUUAGCGAGAGUACCUGAAGAAAAAGCAUCGGCUAACUCCGUGCCAGCAGCCGCGGUAAUACGGAGGAUGCGAGCGUUAUCCGGAUUUACUGGGUUUAAAGGGUGCGUAGGCGGAAUAUCAAGUCAGCGGUAAAAUUUCGGGGCUCAACCCCGUCGUGCCGUUGAAACUGACGCCCUUGAGUGAGUGAGAAGUAAGCGGAAUGCGUGGUGUAGCGGUGAAAUGCAUAGAUAUCGCGCAGAACUCCGAUUGCGAAGGCAGCAUGCCGGCUCCACACUGACGCUGAGGCACGAAAGCGUGGGUAUCGAACAGGAUUAGAUACCCCAGUCCCG
Molecule: ribosomal RNA, 469 nt
Filed under: uncultured bacterium
Lineage: Bacteria
Description: bacterial SSU rRNA
Rfam family: Bacterial small subunit ribosomal RNA
Source: RNAcentral